This 373-nucleotide ribosomal RNA is filed under the name uncultured organism. RNAcentral describes it as "partial 16S ribosomal RNA". It matches the Rfam family "Bacterial small subunit ribosomal RNA", at positions 527 to 896 of the family's 1533-position model. The record is from RNAcentral.
GUAGGAUCCGAGCGUUAUCCGAAUUUACUGGGCGUAAAGCGCGUGUAGGCGGCCGGGUAAGUUGGACGUGAAAGCUCCUGGCUCAACUAGGAGAGGUCGUUCAAAACUGCCUGGCUAGAGGGCGACAGAGGGAGGUGGAAUUCCCGGUGUAGUGGUGAAAUGCGUAGAUAGCGGGAGGAACACCAGUGGCGAAGGCGGCCUCCUGGGUCGCCCCUGACGCUCAGACGCGAAAGCUAGGGGAGCAAACGGGAUUAGAUACCCCGGGUAGUCCUAGCUGUAAACGAUGUGGACUUGGCGUUGGUGGGGUCAAAUCCCAUCAGUGCCGGAGCUAACGCGAUAAGUCCACCGCCUGGGGACUACGACCGCAAGGUUA